UGCUGUGCUCUGGCUGCGACAUCUGUCAACCCAUUGAUUACCAGGGUUGAUUUGGCUGAUCUGGCCAACUAGGCGGGUGUCCCCUCCUCCCUCACCACUCCAUGUGCGUCCUUCCCAAAGUUGCACUCAUCGGAAGAGGACGGCCUUUCCCCGAAUAUAGACGACUGGUCUUCAGUGUAGAGUAUACCAGUAGCUGCGCUCCCCUGCUAGAACCUCCAGACAAGCUCUCAAGGUCACUUUAGUAAUAUUUAGAAAAAAUCAAAUGAAAUAUUCAAGAAAACAACUACUUGGGGUAAGAAAGGAGAGGAGGUAAGU
This 315-nucleotide small nuclear RNA is filed under the name Sorex araneus (European shrew). Its description in RNAcentral is "7SK RNA (ENSSARG00000018216.1)". It matches the Rfam family "7SK RNA". From Rfam's summary of the family: 7SK was discovered as an abundant small nuclear RNA in the mid-70s but a possible function has only recently been suggested. Two independent studies have found that 7SK RNA binds the CDK9/cyclin T complex (known as elongation factor P-TEFb). The record is from RNAcentral. Lineage: Eukaryota; Metazoa; Chordata; Mammalia; Eulipotyphla; Soricidae.